CUCCAGCAACCACAUCUGAACAGGGAAGGAAAGAUCCUGGGCUGAGAACAGUUAAGAGCCACUGGAGGGGUGUCUUGAGUUGGACUGAAGUUGUUCUCAUUGUCUGUUUCUCUGGCAAUUCCACUAAACUGUGAACUCUGAAGGUUUGGGCUCUUUUUGUUUGUUUCUUUGUAUUUUCAGCAUGUGUGGUACAUACACGCAUUGUUCAGUAGACAUGUGUUGAAUCCAUCAAUGAAUCAGUCCACUGAUGCGUUCAGAGGAACGAGUGCUGUGGAGUAUGGAGAGCUGGAACAGAUACGGGGUGCAUUGGACUUGGGACCAUAGUCAGAAAGUUAUCACCCAGCAUAAAACCAGUGGAAACUUCCAGAAGAAAAGACAAGCUGACUGAAAGAGACUAACCCAGGAGUAAGCAUGGAAACCAGCCUUGUAAUACUUUAGUGAGACUGAUGGAGAAGAAUAAGUGCCGUGGGAACACCAAAGUGGGCCAUUCCAAAGAGGCAACUAGACUGAGCUGAACAAUGAUGGAAAGGACUAUUAAAUGCAAAACAGAAGGGAGAGGAAAGAGCAACCAGCUCAAAGGUGGAGGAGCACCCUGACUCCUGACCAGAGAAUUACUGUCAAAGUAAGAUAAAAAAUAAACUAUGAAAACUAACAUA
This is a non-coding RNA of Ictidomys tridecemlineatus (thirteen-lined ground squirrel), 656 nucleotides long. The record is from RefSeq and is a predicted model, not a curated record. NCBI's taxonomy places the organism in Eukaryota, Metazoa, Chordata, Mammalia, Rodentia, Sciuridae.